GGCUUAUAUAAACCAGGCAGUUUGGCUGCAGGAGGUCAGGCAACAACAUUGCCUGGCUUUAGAGCUGCUGUGGAUACCUGGAGGAUCGUGAUGCUAAAGGAAUAUUUUCUUCAGAUGCAAGAUACAACACUGUGAAAAAAAAGUUCAGAUGCAUCUCCAGAUCUGAAUUAAAUGCUUUCGUGAGACUUUAUAACAGACAAAUUGCAACAAAUACAAAAAUUCAAGAUUUCAGGGUUCUGGUGUAGCAUGCAUUGAAGAAUUUAACUGGACAUCCAUGCAUUUGGUAGCAGCCCAGACAGGUGCACAUGACUUGGCCAUUGAGGAGACCAGUGCCAUAGCAGAGGUGCGAAGUACUCCUGCAGUGGCAUCACAGCUCGUUCCAGCGAGUUUUUGCACUAUGUUCACCUGACUCUUAAUCUUGACAGCUAUUUUUCAAAGAUGAUUACAAAAAGUUAAGGUCGAGUGUCACACCUAGUAGGACAGAGUUGGAACAUGUUGUAAUUUUUCUUGGCAAAAAAGAGAUGUUGAGAUGAACAUGUGCUUUGUGGCUAUUGAGGUGAAAUUCUGAGAUGAUGGACUCAAUUGGGUUUGGUAGAAGAUGAUUGCUUGCUCAUGGCCCACCCUGCUAUGUAGAAAUCCAAAACAGGAAAAUCCACAACUAAUGUCAUCACAAGGGCAACUGAACACCCAACGGCCUCCCGGCUGAUGGAGCAACAACCAUAGCAAUAACUUUAAAUUGUGGCAGAGCUGAAUUAGAUUAUCUAUCCAGAGAAAAAAAUAACAACAACCAAAAAAACCCCUGCUUUACUAUUAGAACAGUUAAGCAGUAGAAUAGAUUACAUACACAAGUUAUACAAUCUGCUUGCAAGGCUUGGAUAUAGAAUGACUGCAGCCAAAGCCUUAUCUUCAAUGGACUAAUCAGCAUAGUAGUUGUAUUUUGUUGCUAAAGCCAACACCCAAAUACUACCUCCUCUAGAACAAAGAGGAAGCAAGGAGGGGAUUAUAUAUCAGAAAUACCUGUCAGAGAUACACUGCCUGCCUACCCUGCUAGUAAGCUGCUGAAUCGAAGGAAGAACACAGAUUUCACCAAGGAAUUUGGAGAAGGCUGGAAGUCAAGCUUUGUAUAUAUGACUUGAAUGCUAGCUAAAUUGUGGUUAAUACAAACAUUUCUUAUAUAUUUCUUUGUGUGUGUGUGUGUGUGUGUGUGUGUAUAUUUCAAAUAACUUCUUAAUAAAGAACGAUUUUAUUUUGGAAACAU
Alligator mississippiensis (American alligator) is the source of this 1258-nucleotide long non-coding RNA. RefSeq lists it as uncharacterized. NCBI's taxonomy places the organism in Eukaryota, Metazoa, Chordata, Crocodylia, Alligatoridae. The record is from RefSeq and is a predicted model, not a curated record. The transcript is spliced from 4 exons.